CCUACGGGAGGCUGCAGUGAGGAAUAUUGGUCAAUGGGCGAGAGCCUGAACCAGCCAAGUCGCGUGAAGGAUGACGGCCCUACGGGUUGUAAACUUCUUUUGUCAGGGAGCAAUUGGGUCCACGCGUGGGCUUAGCGAGAGUACCUGAAGAAAAAGCAUCGGCUAACUCCGUGCCAGCAGCCGCGGUAAUCCGGGGGAUGCGAGCGUUAUCCGGAUUUAUUGGGUUUAAAGGGUGCGUAGGCGGAAUAUCAAGUCAGCGGGAAAAAUUCGGGGCUCAACCCCGUCGUGCCGUUGAAACUGAUGUGCUUGGGGGGGCGGGAAGGAUGGGGAAUGCGUGGUGUAGCGGUGAAAUGCAUUGAUA
RNAcentral lists this ribosomal RNA (361 nucleotides) under uncultured bacterium. Its description in RNAcentral is "partial 16S ribosomal RNA". It matches the Rfam family "Bacterial small subunit ribosomal RNA", at positions 338 to 696 of the family's 1533-position model. The record is from RNAcentral.